Molecule: ribosomal RNA, 247 nt
Filed under: uncultured bacterium
Lineage: Bacteria
Description: partial small subunit ribosomal RNA
Rfam family: Bacterial small subunit ribosomal RNA
Source: RNAcentral
AGAAUCAACGCUGGCGGCGUGCCUAACACAUGCAAGUCGAACGAGAACGGAGCCUUCGGGUUCCUAGUAAAGUGGCGCACGGGUGAGUAACACGUGACUAACCUACCCUUGAGUGGGGAAUAACUUCGAGAAAUCGAGGCUAAUUCCGCAUAAUACCUACGGGUCAAAGGAGCAAUUCGCUUAAGGAGGGGGUCGCGGCAGAUUAGCUAGUUGGCGGGGUAAUGGCCCACCAAGGCUUUGAUCUGUA